RNAcentral lists this unclassified non-coding RNA (309 nucleotides) under air metagenome. RNAcentral describes it as "partial contains small subunit ribosomal RNA, internal transcribed spacer 1, and 5.8S ribosomal RNA". The stretch from base 1 to 46 matches the Rfam family "Eukaryotic small subunit ribosomal RNA", at positions 1786 to 1831 of the family's 1831-position model. The record is from RNAcentral.
AAGUCGUAACAAGGUUUCCGUAGGUGAACCUGCGGAAGGAUCAUUAACGAAGCAUACGAGGGGUUGUAGCUGCCUUGAAAGAGGAUGUGCACACCUUUCAACUCUUCAUUAACCACCUGUGAACUCUUCUUAGACUACGAUAACCUUCACUGAAAAUGUGGAUAGAGGGCUUGCAUUUCAUUGUGCUUGCUUUCGAUUUCGUAGUCCGAGCAUUAUACACACAUUAAUAACUUUGAAUGAAUAACUUACUCGCUGUAAUGGCUUGUAAUAAUUGAAAUACAACUUUUAGCAACGGAUCUCUUGGCUCUC